CGGACGGGUGAGUAACGCGUGGAUAACCUACCUAUAAGACUGGGAUAACUUCGGGAAACCGGAGCUAAUACCGGAUAAUAUAUUGAACCGCAUGGUUCAAUAGUGAAAGACGGUUUUGCUGUCACUUAUAGAUGGAUCCGCGCCGCAUUAGCUAGUUGGUAAGGUAACGGCUUACCAAGGCAGCGAUGCGUAGCCGACCUGAGAGGGUGAUCGGCCACACUGGAACUGAGACACGGUCCAGACUCCUACGGGAGGCAGCAGGC
This 263-nucleotide ribosomal RNA is filed under the name uncultured Staphylococcus sp. RNAcentral describes it as "partial 16S ribosomal RNA". It matches the Rfam family "Bacterial small subunit ribosomal RNA", at positions 99 to 354 of the family's 1533-position model. Lineage: Bacteria; Bacillati; Bacillota; Bacilli; Caryophanales; Staphylococcaceae. The record is from RNAcentral.